AUUGAACGCUGGCGGAAUGCUUUACACAUGCAAGUCGAACGGUAGAGGGGGCAACCCCUCGAGAGUGGCGAACGGGUGAGUAAUAUAUCGGAACGUGCCCAGUCGUGGGGGAUAACGUAGCGAAAGUUACGCUAAUACCGCAUACGAUCUAAGGAUGAAAGCGGGGGAUCGCAAGACCUCGCGCGAUUGGAGCGGCCGAUAUCAGACUAGGUAGUUGGUGGGGUAAAGGCCCACCAAGCCAACGAUCUGUAGCUGGUCUGAGAGGACGACCAGCCACACUGGAACUGAGACACGGUCCAGACUCCUACGGGAGGCAGCAGUGGGGAAUUUUGGACAAUGGGCGAAAGCCUGAUCCAGCCAUUCCGCGUGCAGGAUGAAGGCCCUCGGGUUGUAAACUGCUUUUGUACAGAACGAAAAGGUUUCUACUAAUACUAGGAGCUCAUGGCGGUACUGUAAGAAUAAGCACCGGCUAACUACGUGCCAGCAGCCGCAGUAA
RNAcentral lists this ribosomal RNA (496 nucleotides) under uncultured bacterium. RNAcentral describes it as "partial 16S ribosomal RNA". It matches the Rfam family "Bacterial small subunit ribosomal RNA", at positions 30 to 523 of the family's 1533-position model. The record is from RNAcentral.